Long non-coding RNA from Olea europaea var. sylvestris, 1141 nucleotides. RefSeq lists it as uncharacterized. The transcript is spliced from 3 exons. The record is from RefSeq and is a predicted model, not a curated record. NCBI's taxonomy places the organism in Eukaryota, Viridiplantae, Streptophyta, Magnoliopsida, Lamiales, Oleaceae.
UAUUCAUUUUUGUCUCCUCGUUUUCACACUAAUCCAGAUUCACUACUGUUCAUUAACAGGUUCACUACUGUUUACUACAUAUCUCCUCUAUGAAGGUACUUUUUGAUCUCUGUCUCUCUCUCUUCAUACGUACUUGACGUUUGUAUCUCCAUUUCUAUCGGACUCCAACAUCAACUUUGGGGACAAGGACGAAGGGGAUCUGGAUUUCAUCGAACUUCAACAUACAGCUUGGGUAUUAGGACGAAGGAGACGACGACGAUGAAGAAGAAGGAUCCGUUGCGGUGGUCGGCAAGGUGGAGAAGGACCUGAAGCUCGACAUCAGCGAUCGUAAGGCCAAGUAAAUCUACAUAAGUACCAUUCUUCACCCUUUUGACUACAAUCUUUACAGAAGGUGAGGCUCAGGGCACCUCAGCAACAGUGCCGACAGCAAAGAAAGAAAAGAAUAAAAGAGAGAGCAACCAUAGCCAAUAGACAUUACUUGGCUGUACGCUCUAUUCUUGUUGCCUUUACCAUCAAUUUUUUUUUCUCAUUUUGAUUAUAUCUAAUAAAUGUAUAGCCAUAUAAGAAAUUGAUCUGCAGUUUCUUUUAACGUAAUGGAUUGAUGGCUCGUGGGAUUUCCUAGGUACACUAAAAAACGAAGACAAGGGAUUACUUUUACACAAAUUGAUGGUAAAGUUGUACAAAAAUUGGACAUUCAUAAUAACAUAAAGUAUGUAUAUUUCAUAUAUUUCUCUUUUGGUCAGAGAGGCAAACUAUGACUCUAUAGGAGGAGGCCGUAGUGGACGAAGAUAUGAUCAUGGUCGUCGUCGUGGGUACAACAAAGACCCAACCAACAACGAGAAUUUGCAUGGAAAUAUGGAAAUUUUUGGUGGUCAAGGAGCAUUUGGAUAAGUAGUGUAUAGUCUAGUCUUUUGUAGGGAUAAAUUUGAUUAACACAGAACCAAAAUGUCUUCAUGAACAUGUCCCUAAGCUGUAAUUCGGGUAGUGUAUUUUGUGUAAUUCAGUCCGAUCGAACUGUCGAGAAUUACAGAUUUCUAUCUGUCGGGAACGACAAAUUAACCAUUGGGCUGUAGAUCUAUAUUUUACACCAUGUUCAGCGGAUGUUAUGAAAUUGUGUUUAUCAUGAGCUGAAUUGACUCCA